RNAcentral lists this ribosomal RNA (408 nucleotides) under Triticum aestivum (bread wheat). Its description in RNAcentral is "partial small subunit ribosomal RNA". Lineage: Eukaryota; Viridiplantae; Streptophyta; Magnoliopsida; Poales; Poaceae. The record is from RNAcentral.
AUGGAACCCUAUAUUGGCAUGAGGUUUGACAGCCUUCAAAUUGCUAAGGAUCACUACAACAGCUACGCCCUAUGGAUGGGUUUCUCUAUCAAGAUGAACACCUCUAGGCGGACACCCCACACCAAUGUAUUGGUAAAACAGCAGUUUUGCUGCAACAAGUUCAAGAAGCCAAAAGCUGAUGAUGGAGGAUCUGAGGCUCCUCCUGUCCUGGACCCUAUUCCAGAUCCAAAACCUGUUGACAGUGAUGAGGAAAUGGAAGAUGAACCUCCAAUCUUUGCUGAAGAGGAGGCUGGUCCUAGUAAGAAGAAGAAGAAACGGAAACGCGAGACAAUAAAGCAGACUCAGCAAGGCGAAAAUGUUGGUGAAGCUGAUAGAUGGGCGAUGGGAGGUGACGCACUUUGUUCGUGA